This 694-nucleotide long non-coding RNA is filed under the name Panax ginseng (ginseng). RNAcentral describes it as "long non-coding RNA (PGIN_LNC014730)". Lineage: Eukaryota; Viridiplantae; Streptophyta; Magnoliopsida; Apiales; Araliaceae. The record is from RNAcentral.
ACAAGCAAACGGAAAACAAGGGUGGGCCGUUCGUUUACACUACGAGUUUAUUAAAUGUGCAAUCUCUGAUGGACCAAAAAUUGACUGGAGUAUAACUUAUGAACUCAGCAAGCAAAUGGACUCUAAUAUUAUUAGUAUAUUUCGGGUAGAAGGAGUAUGAUGAAAAUUUUCAAGAGAGAAACUCUAAUAUUUCAGACAUUAUUUUAUUUAUUUAUUUGGAAAUGUGGAUGCCGUACUUCCAGCAUAGUCCCAAACCCCCAACUCCAAGGUCAGUUUCUUCCUCUUUCAAGUCGCAUCGACCCCCGUAAUCAGAACCACAUAAAUAUCACCACCGUUAUUAGUAUAAGAAUUGGGCUGUGCCUGUGGAUUGGCAUGUGGGCUGUGUAACUUUCUCUUGCCUCAUAUGUCUGUCACUUUAGACCAUUGUAUUGUAUUAAAAGACUCGCCUCAUAAUAAAGUAAGUUAGGAACAUUGACCUACCUAGAAAAUUAUACACGAGAACAAAAAAUAUUAGACAAAUCCAACAAGUAAGAGCUAAUCCCAAGACUAAAGCCUAUAGAACAACAUGAUUGAGUUUUUUGAAGAAUUAAUUAAAAUAUUAAGAGAAAUAUAUACAUACAUGUGGCAACAUGAUAAAUGCAUGCUGCCUAACUACCCACCAUGCUAACAUGCAAGAGUUGGUAAUGAAAACAAU